AAACAAGCAAUGACAAGGAAAAGUAGAAGAUAUGAGUGUUGAUACAGAGAACUUCGUUUGCUGAGAGAAGCCGCACUGAUUGAUUUCGAAAGUAGCCUUUGAGCUAUCCGCUGAAAAUAAGUAGGUUGGAUUGGGAGUGCCCAUUAAUGCACCGACACAUUAGACUUUAUCAGGAUGAGCGGCGUCCAGCGCGACAGCUCGUUUGAUCUCAGUGAUUUUUGGCUGUGAUGAUUCUGCUCUUAAAGCGCUAGUGUGUGAUAGAGGCAGCUACGGCAACGGGGCUGUAAACUAAGGGUGGUAACACGCAGAAGCGUCCUUAAG
This 321-nucleotide non-coding RNA is filed under the name Paucilactobacillus vaccinostercus. RNAcentral's name for it is "Lactobacillus vaccinostercus T-box sequence". It matches the Rfam family "T-box leader". Rfam says of the family: Uncharged tRNA acts as the effector for transcription antitermination of genes in the T-box leader family. Lineage: Bacteria; Bacillati; Bacillota; Bacilli; Lactobacillales; Lactobacillaceae. The record is from RNAcentral.